This 270-nucleotide ribosomal RNA is filed under the name uncultured bacterium. RNAcentral describes it as "partial 16S ribosomal RNA". It matches the Rfam family "Bacterial small subunit ribosomal RNA", at positions 88 to 354 of the family's 1533-position model. The record is from RNAcentral.
CCGGCGACCGGCGCACGGGUGAGUAACACGUAUGCGACCUGCCCCCCGCAGGGGGAUAACCGGGAGAAAUCCCGACUAAUACCGCGUAACGCCGCGGACCUGCAUGGGUCUGCGGCCAAAGGAAGCGAUUCCGGCGGGGGAUGGGCAUGCGGCGCAUUAGCUAGUUGGCGGGGUAACGGCCCACCAAGGCGACGAUGCGUAGGGGUUCUGAGAGGAAGGUCCCCCACACUGGUACUGAGACACGGACCAGACUCCUACGGGAGGCAGCAG